UAUGAGUGUGUGUAUAUAAUGCAGAGUGUGUGCAUUAUAUAUACACACACACACUGCAUUAUAUACAUACACUCAUA
This is a non-coding RNA of Pelobates cultripes (western spadefoot toad), 77 nucleotides long. NCBI's taxonomy places the organism in Eukaryota, Metazoa, Chordata, Amphibia, Anura, Pelobatidae. The record is from the annotation of a GenBank genome assembly.